RNAcentral lists this long non-coding RNA (687 nucleotides) under Bos taurus (domestic cattle). Its description in RNAcentral is "long non-coding RNA NONBTAT001159". The record is from RNAcentral. Lineage: Eukaryota; Metazoa; Chordata; Mammalia; Artiodactyla; Bovidae.
ACUCAUAAUUAACUGAUUUUAAUCCAAACCAGGUCAAGAGAUCUCACAUAGCUAAACAAGUCUAAUGUCCUAAAAACAAAUCUAUGCUGGUCAUACAUAGCACUGCCAAGUAAAAUGUCAUCUGUCAUUGGAAAAGGGAAGAAGAGCUGCCUGCCAUCAAAAAAUCUUCAUUAAAUGGCCUGCAGAUGUGAAAUUAAAAAUAAAAUGCCACAGAAUAGAAGUGUGAAAAAAGAAAAACUACAGAAGAAGAAACUGUAAUCUGAGUGGGAAAUAAUUCUUCACACACAAUCAUAUUGAAUUGCUGCAGCACCACAAUUCAAAAGGAAAUAGCAAAAGGGUAAAUUAAGAAAUGGACUGUAAGGUCACUCAUUCAAACUGGCUACAACAUUUUUUUUUUCAUCUCCUGCAGCAAAGCAACUGCUAUGCACUAUAAUGGUCUUGGAUACCAAGUACUACCCCUCUUCCCCACAAAUAAAAGGAGAAAAGACACUGAGCCUGAUCUUCUAAAUAGAAUACUGCAAAUAAAGGCUACGACUCAGAUAUUGGGACCUCCUCAGUCAGUGAGUUCCACUGCUGGGAAUUAAGGCAAAUGUGGUGCUUGGGUUAAAUAUUUCACUGUUGUUACUUGGGCUUUUUCAAAAAAGCAGACAGGGAAAUGAAAUCUAAGAAAGCAAACAAAAGUGCUUG